This 230-nucleotide long non-coding RNA is filed under the name Fukomys damarensis (Damara mole-rat). RNAcentral describes it as "lncRNA (ENSFDAG00000027194.1)". Lineage: Eukaryota; Metazoa; Chordata; Mammalia; Rodentia; Bathyergidae. The record is from RNAcentral.
GAGUAACGAAACAGAAGGCUUUUCUGGAAGGCCACGGCAAACCAGCGUUUGUUCCAUGUUUGUGUCGCUGAGGUGCUUUGCUGCGUCCCCACUGGACUGUUAGCUUCUGCAACUGUGAGCCUGGCUCAUCCGCUGUCGCAGCUCCAGGGCUCAUCAGGGCGUGUUGCUCAUGGUAAGUGCUCGGUAAAACAUUUAUUCAGUGAAUGAAUAAAUAAAUGGAGGUAAAAGCA